GCACAAGCGGUGGAGCAUGUGGUUUAAUUCGAUGCAACGCGAAGAACCUUACCUACCUUUGAAUCCACGGAAUCUUGCAGAAAUGUGAGAGUGCCUUCGGGAACCGUGAGACAGGUGCUGCAUGGCUGUCGUCAGCUCGUGUCGUGAGAUGUUGGGUUAAGUCCCGUAACGAGCGCAACCCUUGUCCUUAGUUACCAGCGAGUUAUGUCGGGGACUUUAAGGAGACUGCCGGUGAUAAACCGGAGGAAGGUGGGGAUGACGUCAAGUCCUCAUGGCCCUUACAGGUAGGGCCACACACGUGCUACAAUGGCCGGUACAAAGGGUUGCCAACCCGCGAGGGGGAGCUAAUCUCAAAAAGCCGGUCGUAGUCCGGAUUGGAGUCUGCAACUCGACUCCAUGAAGCUGGAAUCGCUAGUAAUCGCGGAUCAGAACGCCGCGGUGAAUACGUUCCCGGGCCUUGUACACACCGCCCGUCACACCAUGGGAGUGGGUUGUACCAGAAGCAGGUAGACUAACCGAAAGGAGGUCGCCUACCACGGUAUGAUUCAUGACUGGGGUGAAGUCGUAACAAGGUAACC
Molecule: ribosomal RNA, 578 nt
Filed under: uncultured bacterium
Lineage: Bacteria
Description: bacterial SSU rRNA
Rfam family: Bacterial small subunit ribosomal RNA
Source: RNAcentral